CCCACAUCACGAGGGUGUGCAACCAGGUUUUUUCCAAAUUUCCUGAUUUUGUGCAGCUUAGCAAAGAUGCUGCCUUUGAAACUAUUUCAGAUCCAAAAUAUAGUGGAAAAAUGAAGGUUCUACAGAAACUUUUAAAUCACUUUAGGAAAAACAAGGAUAAAGUCCUCCUUUUUUCCUUUUCUACCAAGUUACUUGAUGUACUGGAACAGUAUUCUAUGGCAUCUGGGCUAGAUUACCGAAGACUGGAUGGAAAUACAAAGGCAGAGGACAGGGUCAGGAUAGUAAACGAGUUCAACAGCAUGGAAGAAGUUAACAUUUGCCUCGUUUCU
This is a long non-coding RNA of Sphaerodactylus townsendi, 329 nucleotides long. RefSeq lists it as uncharacterized. The record is from RefSeq and is a predicted model, not a curated record. The transcript is spliced from 3 exons. Lineage: Eukaryota; Metazoa; Chordata; Lepidosauria; Squamata; Sphaerodactylidae.